UCACUAUUCAAGCCCAGCUUGCUGUUGGACCUUUCGUCGUCAAAAGACAGGUCUCAAAGAUAAUGACGGUGUCUUUUAGACCCUUAGAUACAACGAGCUUUUAACUAGCACGUAUCUACAGUGGACUUGCAGACCCGGUCUUUUUUUAACCAAUUUCUAAGGUUGACCUCGGAUCAGGUAGGAAUACCCGCUGAACUUAA
RNAcentral lists this unclassified non-coding RNA (200 nucleotides) under soil metagenome. RNAcentral's name for it is "partial contains internal transcribed spacer 2 and large subunit ribosomal RNA". The record is from RNAcentral.